This 468-nucleotide ribosomal RNA is filed under the name uncultured bacterium. Its description in RNAcentral is "partial 16S ribosomal RNA". It matches the Rfam family "Bacterial small subunit ribosomal RNA", at positions 28 to 507 of the family's 1533-position model. The record is from RNAcentral.
GACGAACGCUGGCGGCGUGCUUAACACAUGCCAGUCGAACGGAAAGGCCCUGCUUUUGUGGGGUUCUCGAGUGGCGAACGGGUGAGUAACACGUGAGUAACCUGCCCUUGACUUUGGGAUAACUUCAGGAAACUGGGGCUAAUACCGGAUAGGAGCUCCUGCUGCAUGGUGGGGUUUGGAAAGUUUCGGCGGUUGGGGAUGGACUCGCGGCUUAUCAGCUUGUUGGUGGGGUAGUGGCUUACCAAGGCUUUGACGGGUAGCCGGCCUGAGAGGGUGACCGGCCACAUUGGGACUGAGAUAGGGCCCAGACUCCUACGGGAGGCAGCAGUGGGGAAUAUUGCACAAUGGGCGGAAGCCUGAUGCAGCAACGCCGCGUGCGGGAUGACGGCCUUCGGGUUGUAAACCGCUUUCGCCUGUGACGAAGCGUGAGUGACGGUAAUGGGUAAAGAAGCACCGGCUAACUACGUG